This 624-nucleotide ribosomal RNA is filed under the name Enterococcus faecium. Its description in RNAcentral is "partial 23S ribosomal RNA". It matches the Rfam family "Bacterial large subunit ribosomal RNA", at positions 1573 to 2208 of the family's 2925-position model. The record is from RNAcentral. Lineage: Bacteria; Bacillati; Bacillota; Bacilli; Lactobacillales; Enterococcaceae.
GAAAUAAUAGUACCGAAGUUCCUGAUGUCACACUGCCGAGAAAAGCUUCUAGUGAGAAAACAGCGGCCCGUACCGCAAACCGACACAGGUAGUCGAGGAGAGAAUCCUAAGGUGAGCGAGAGAACUCUCGUUAAGGAACUCGGCAAAAUGACCCCGUAACUUCGGGAGAAGGGGUGCUGAUCAUACGAUCAGCCGCAGUGAAUAGGCCCAAGCGACUGUUUAUCAAAAACACAGGUCUCUGCAAAAUCGUAAGAUGAAGUAUAGGGGCUGACGCCUGCCCGGUGCUGGAAGGUUAAGAGGAGUGCUUAGCGCAAGCGAAGGUACGAAUUGAAGCCCCAGUAAACGGCGGCCGUAACUAUAACGGUCCUAAGGUAGCGAAAUUCCUUGUCGGGUAAGUUCCGACCCGCACGAAAGGCGUAACGAUUUGGGCACUGUCUCAACGAGAGACUCGGUGAAAUUUUAGUACCUGUGAAGAUGCAGGUUACCCGCGACAGGACGGAAAGACCCCAUGGAGCUUUACUGUAGUUUGAUAUUGAGUGUCUGUACCGCAUGUACAGGAUAGGUAGGAGCCGUAGAAAUCGGAACGCUAGUUUCGAUGGAGGCGCUGGUGGGAUACUACCCCUG